AGCUGAUCACUGGGCGUAAAGCGUGCGCAGGCGGUUUUGUGAGACAGUGGUGAAAUCCCCGGGCUCAACCUGGGAACUGCCAUUGUGACUGCAAGGCUAGAGUGCGGCAGAGGGGGAUGGAAUUCCGCGUGUAGCAGUGAAAUGCGUAGAUAUGCGGAGGAACACCGAUGGCGAGGGCAAUCCCCUGGGCCUGCACUGACGCUCAUGCACGAAAGCGUGGGGAGCAAACA
This 230-nucleotide ribosomal RNA is filed under the name uncultured Alicycliphilus sp. RNAcentral's name for it is "partial 16S ribosomal RNA". It matches the Rfam family "Bacterial small subunit ribosomal RNA", at positions 550 to 774 of the family's 1533-position model. The record is from RNAcentral. Lineage: Bacteria; Pseudomonadati; Pseudomonadota; Betaproteobacteria; Burkholderiales; Comamonadaceae.